AGUCGAGCGAACAGACGAGGAGCUUGCUCCUCUGACGUUAGCGGCGGACGGGUGAGUAACACGUGGAUAACCUACCUAUAAGACUGGGAUAACUUCGGGAAACCGGAGCUAAUACCGGAUAACAUGUUGAACCGCAUGGUUCAACAGUGAAAGACGGUCUUGCUGUCACUUAUAGAUGGAUCCGCGCCGCAUUAGCUAGUUGGUAAGGUAACGGCUUACCAAGGCAACGAUGCGUAGCCGACCUGAGAGGGUGAUCGGCCACACUGGAACUGAGACACGGUCCUGACUCCUACGGGAGGCAGCAGUAGGGAAUCUUCCGCAAUGGGCGAAGGCCUGACGGAGCAACGCCGCGUGAGUGAAGAAGGUCUUCGGAUCGUAAAACUCUGUUAUUAGGGAAGAACAAAUGUGUAAGUAACUAUGCACGUCUUAACGGUACCUAAUCAGAAAGCCACGGCUAACUACGUGCCAGCAGCCGCGGUAAUACGUAGGUGGCAAGCGUUAUCCGGAAUUAUUGGGCGUAAAGCGCGCGUAGGCGGUUUUUUAAGUCUGAUGUGAAAGCCCACGGCUCAACCGUGGAGGGUCAUUGGAAACUGGAAAACUUGAGUGCGGAAGAGGAAAGUGGAAUUCCAUGUGUAGCGGUGAAAUGCGCAGAGAUAUGGAGGAACACCAGUGGCGAAGGCGACUUUCUGGUCUGUAACUGACGCUGAUGUGCGAAAGCGUGGGGAUCAAACAGGAUUA
This 738-nucleotide ribosomal RNA is filed under the name uncultured Staphylococcus sp. Its description in RNAcentral is "bacterial SSU rRNA". It matches the Rfam family "Bacterial small subunit ribosomal RNA", at positions 60 to 780 of the family's 1533-position model. Lineage: Bacteria; Bacillati; Bacillota; Bacilli; Caryophanales; Staphylococcaceae. The record is from RNAcentral.